GUGGGGAAUAUUGGACAAUGGGGGGAACCCUGAUCCAGCCAUGCCGCGUGUGUGAAGAAGGCCUUUUGGUUGUAAAGCACUUUAAGCGAGGAGGAGGCUACCGAGAUUAAUACUCUUGGAUAGUGGACGUUACUCGCAGAAUAAGCACCGGCUAACUCUGUGCCAGCAGCCGCGGUAAUACAGAGGGUGCAAGCGUUAAUCGGAUUUACUGGGCGUAAAGCGCGCGUAGGUGGCCAAUUAAGUCAAAUGUGAAAUCCCCGAGCUUAACUUGGGAAUUGCAUUCGAUACUGGUUGGCUAGAGUAUGGGAGAGGAUGGUAGAAUUCCAGGUGUAGCGGUGAAAUGCGUAGAGAUCUGGAGGAAUACCGAUGGCGAAGGCAGCCAUCUGGCCUAAUACUGACACUGAGGUGCGAAAGCAUGGGGAGCAAACAGGAUUAGAUACCCUGGUAGUC
This 450-nucleotide ribosomal RNA is filed under the name uncultured bacterium. RNAcentral's name for it is "partial 16S ribosomal RNA". It matches the Rfam family "Bacterial small subunit ribosomal RNA", at positions 354 to 795 of the family's 1533-position model. The record is from RNAcentral.